RNAcentral lists this ribosomal RNA (301 nucleotides) under uncultured bacterium. RNAcentral describes it as "partial 16S ribosomal RNA". It matches the Rfam family "Bacterial small subunit ribosomal RNA", at positions 509 to 807 of the family's 1533-position model. The record is from RNAcentral.
CAGUCGCCGCGGUAAUACGAAGGGGGCUAGCGUUGCUCAGAAUGACUGGGCGUAAAGGGCGCGUAGGCGGCGAUCAAAGUCAGGCGUGAAAUUCCUGGGCUCAACCUGGGGGCUGCGUUUGAUACUUGAUUGCUAGAGUGGGGAAGAGGGUCGUGGAAUUCCCAGUGUAGAGGUGAGAUUCGUAGAUAUUGGGAAGACCACCGGUGGCGAAGGCGGCGACCUGGUCCUUGACUGACGCUGAGGCGCGAAAGCGUGGGGAGCAAACAGGAUUAGAUACCCGAGUAGUCCCUGUCUCUUAUAC